GGUGAGAUGGCCGAGUGGUUAAGGCGCUACGUUCAGGAUCCGUUCUGAAAUCAGUCCCGUAGUCCGAAAGGGCGUGGGUUCGAAUCCCACUCUCAUCA
RNAcentral lists this transfer RNA (98 nucleotides) under Tilletia controversa (dwarf bunt fungus). It matches the Rfam family "tRNA". Rfam says of the family: Transfer RNA (tRNA) molecules are approximately 80 nucleotides in length. Their secondary structure includes four short double-helical elements and three loops (D, anti-codon, and T loops). Further hydrogen bonds mediate the characteristic L-shaped molecular structure. tRNAs have two regions of fundamental functional importance: the anti-codon, which is responsible for specific mRNA codon recognition, and the 3' end, to which the tRNAs corresponding amino acid is attached (by aminoacyl-tRNA synthetases). tRNAs cope with the degeneracy of the genetic code in two manners: having more than one tRNA (with a specific anti-codon) for a particular amino acid; and 'wobble' base-pairing, i.e. permitting non-standard base-pairing at the 3rd anti-codon position. Lineage: Eukaryota; Fungi; Basidiomycota; Exobasidiomycetes; Tilletiales; Tilletiaceae. The record is from Rfam by way of RNAcentral.